Molecule: transfer RNA, 74 nt
Filed under: Bacteroidota bacterium
Lineage: Bacteria; Pseudomonadati; Bacteroidota
Also listed under: 4 other names
Description: Bacteroidetes bacterium tRNA-Pro
Rfam family: tRNA
About the family: Transfer RNA (tRNA) molecules are approximately 80 nucleotides in length. Their secondary structure includes four short double-helical elements and three loops (D, anti-codon, and T loops). Further hydrogen bonds mediate the characteristic L-shaped molecular structure. tRNAs have two regions of fundamental functional importance: the anti-codon, which is responsible for specific mRNA codon recognition, and the 3' end, to which the tRNAs corresponding amino acid is attached (by aminoacyl-tRNA synthetases). tRNAs cope with the degeneracy of the genetic code in two manners: having more than one tRNA (with a specific anti-codon) for a particular amino acid; and 'wobble' base-pairing, i.e. permitting non-standard base-pairing at the 3rd anti-codon position.
Source: RNAcentral
CGGGAUGUAGCGCAGCCCGGUAGCGCGCUUCGUUCGGGACGAAGAGGUCGUGGGUUCGAAUCCCGCCAUCCCGA